Molecule: long non-coding RNA, 2993 nt
Organism: Leopardus geoffroyi (Geoffroy's cat)
Lineage: Eukaryota; Metazoa; Chordata; Mammalia; Carnivora; Felidae
Exons: 3
Source: RefSeq, a predicted model, not a curated record
CGUCUACUGGCACUCUGCUACCAUUUAGCAUGAGAGGAGAUGUGAGUGAAGAAAACUGGGGUAGAAAACGGAGGUGGUUAUACUUCAUGGUGGUAAACAACCUUACUCACACAGGUAACCUUAAGGCGAGAGCUUCCUUUUUCCUGGCUUUGGAAAGGAGCCCAGCCAAGUGAGUGACCUGGGAGCUUAAGCUUCAACGGCUUCGUGGUAAAUGGUAAGUCUACCUCUGCCUUCCACGUAGGCAACCACCAGGGUCUGCUGGCAUAACGUCAGGAGAGUCAGAAAUCACCAGGAGUGGUGAACUGAGGACGGUCUAGAACCAAGGAUUGGUUUGGAUCGGAGGAACCACACCAAAGCCGGUUUCCAGGAGGACCCGGACUUGGGAGCAGAAUGGCGACAGGAGGCACGAGGUCCCGGAGGAAGCGCUACGAUGUCUGGUGAGCAAGGAGAUGUAGCAGAUGUGCAGGGGCCAAUACUGAUGCAUUCCAGAUGGUCACGGCUGGACCAGCAGGCAGAUGGACGUUACUGAUGGGGACGAGGAGUUUGGAAGGGUGGGAUUGUCACAUCCUGUCAGGGGCACAGCGCGACUUAAUGAAACUGGUCAAGAGGGAUUGAGAUCUGGAGUAGCUGAGCCCUCCGCCAGCGAAGGAUUCUUCUUUAGAGUGUGGCCAAGCUGGCCGGGAACCCAGUUCUUCUGACUCCUGUUUUUUUCUUUACUCCAGGCUGCUGCCCAAAUAAAACCUUUACCUCAAGCUACACAUUCGAAACUGGAAGAAGGCAUUCGUUCUUGCCUAGGGAGAGCCUUCCUGGGAGGUGGCUCAUCAAACCCUCGUGUUUUUUUCCCUCCUGCCUCCCACAGACACCUGGUAUCAGUUCCAAAAGACACAUUUAGUGCCUUUAAGCAAAACUAGUUCUUCUGCCUGGGCGAACUAUGACACUGAACUUUCUGUUUCCAGCCCCCUUAAAAAACCUUCAUCAAAUUUCCACCACGCAAAGGUUGAAGUGUUUCGGUCACCGAAGCGGUUCAGUGAUGAUCGUGGUGGCUGUUUCUUAAAGGGGAUACUCAUUCAUUCAUUCAUUCAUUCAUUAUUUCGUUCAUUCAACAGACACGUAGCAAAUUCUGCAGUGUGACAGACAUUGCGCCUGAAGGCAGAGCAAACACAGUCACCGUUUUGACCAUCUUGGAGACUCGCAUCGAAUAAAUCACAAACAAACGUAAACUUGCCACGCUCACCUGAAUAAAAGGCACAGACCUGACCUCUAUGUUCAGCCACUAUGCAAAUACGCUGCUGGGUCAGUGUGAAGGUAUUUGAAGGCGUCCACGUGACAUUCUCCUCAGAUGGCCCCCAUCCUGUCCUUCCCUCUGCUGACGCAAAGACCUUCUCACCCGUCAGAAGGUGAAGCCUUGUCCCUGCCUUGAAUGGGGCUGGCCUUGGAACUUGCUUUGAGCCCGAGAACGCUGUGAAGGGAUCUGUGUGAGACAGUUUGGGGCCAACGCCUUAAGAGAACUGAUGGCCUUCCGCGCCUUCCCUUUCCAAGUCAUCUGCCGCAGACAGAGCCCAAUAGCCCGAGACCACAGUGCUGUGAGGAAGCCAAGCCAGCAGCGGGGAGAGGCCACACGGAGAGAGGGAUGUUCAGCCGGGUCCCAGCUCUUCAGCCUUCCCAGCUGAGACAUCAGACGUGACUGAAGAAGGCCAUGUCCUCUCGGGGCAUUCUUCUCCCAGUGGACACCACGUGGAGCAGGAAAACCACCCAGAGGAAACCAGCGCACAUUGCAAAAGAAGAAUAAAUGGUUAUGGAAUGCAUUUUCAUCAAUCACUUGAACUGAAGGCAUGCGUCUUUUGCUGGACUGAAAAUUGGUAUUUUUGUCUUUUUUUCAAGAGGAUUGUUGGAUCCGUGUGCUCAGAUUCAAAACUGGCAUUGCUCCCUUGUCUUGGAAACAGUGUGAGAGAGAACAUUGCGUUCUUGGAAUCAGAAACUGGUUCCCGAGUUCAGCCUUCAUCCACACAAGGUCUACGGGAAGAGGCAAAAUUUGAGAGAUGGGAAAUUGCGCCCAUGGAGUCAUCAAGGGGUCAUCACCGAGGUAGCAGAUUUAGGACCCAGGUGGAUGGGAUAAUUGCCACCUCUUCCCCCUGAACCAGCAACUGUGCUUCCAAUUUCAUCAACAGAAAGGGGACCAGGGGAAGAAAAACGGCUUUACCCUUACGUAUCUUUUGGUCUGUUGUUGACUCUGCCACAGGCCUUUUGGGAUGUGAGAACGGUCUCAGUGUGUAUGCAGCCUGGCUUUUUUUUAGCACUAUAUACUUCUUGUGGUCAUAGAGCCGUAAGUAAACAUGGAAAAGGUGACAGCCUGGGGACCUCAAGUUAGGAUUGCUGUACGGUGACAUUGAACAAUGGAGUGUCCCCAGUUCUCCCCAAUAAUUCACUGCGGACACUGACAGAACACGUGUUUGUUGAUGGCAGGGUUGGGGUAGUUUGGGGUGGACUGAAGGCAAAGGCUCUCAGUGCCCUCCAAGAUGCUGGUGAGUUCAGAGGACUAAGAUAUUCAAUCAUUGUAGGGCAACAGACUCUUUAAUACCAUGGAAAGUUGGCAAAACCUUGUGAACCUGUGUGAAUCAGAUAUACUGGCUCAAAGUAGAUGAAAUGGAUCAGUUCACAUAACUUUGCCUAGUGUUAGGGCUAUAGGAAUGAAAAUGCCCUAGGAGAAAUCCUGUGGCAGCUUUGCUGAAGCAGGUGUGUGUGUGUGUGUGUGUGUGUGUGUGUGUGUAAGAACCCAUAUCCCAAAUUGUUAUAUGACUUCCACCACUUACAUCAGAAUCCCUUUCUCUUUCUACUGAAUGGCAUUCUUAGCUCCCAACACCCUCCCAGUUCUCAUGCCUGAAGGUCAACUGUGAUUUCAACUUGAUGCUUUUGCCCUAUUGGACACAUGAUUUUUUUUAAGGUAACUUUUUUUUUUUAAGUUUACUUAUUUAUUUUGAGAAGACAGAGACAGC